Molecule: transfer RNA, 87 nt
Filed under: Anaerostipes caccae L1-92
Lineage: Bacteria; Bacillati; Bacillota; Clostridia; Lachnospirales; Lachnospiraceae
Description: tRNA-Ser
Rfam family: tRNA
About the family: Transfer RNA (tRNA) molecules are approximately 80 nucleotides in length. Their secondary structure includes four short double-helical elements and three loops (D, anti-codon, and T loops).
Source: RNAcentral
GGAGAAUUGGCAGAGUUGGAAAUGCAGCCGGUUGCUAACCGGUACACCCUCCGGGGUGCGGAGGUUCGAGUCCUUCAUUCUCCGCUA